RNAcentral lists this ribosomal RNA (400 nucleotides) under phytoplankton environmental sample. Its description in RNAcentral is "partial small subunit ribosomal RNA". It matches the Rfam family "Eukaryotic small subunit ribosomal RNA", at positions 587 to 991 of the family's 1831-position model. The record is from RNAcentral.
AGCUCCAAUAGCGUAUAUUAAAGUUGUUGCAGUUAAAAAGCUCGUAGUUGGAUUUGUGGCGUACGGUGGGUUCCGGGCACUUGUUGUCUGAGUAACUUGCUGUUGCCAUCCUUGGGUGGAACCUGUGUGGCAUUAGGUUGUCGUGCAGGGGAUGCCCAUCAUUUACUGUGAAAAAAUUAGAGUGUUCAAAGCAGGCUUAUGCCGUUGAAUAUAUUAGCAUGGAAUAAUAAGAUAGGACUUUUUUGCUAUUUUGUUGGUUUGCGCAAAGAGGUAAUGAUUAAUAGGGACAGUUGGGGGUAUUCGUAUUCCAUUGUCAGAGGUGAAAUUCUUGGAUUUUUGGAAGACGAACUACUGCGAAAGCAUUUACCAAGGAUGUUUUCAUUAAUCAAGAACGAAAGUA